RNAcentral lists this ribosomal RNA (165 nucleotides) under Didymellaceae sp. RNAcentral's name for it is "partial large subunit ribosomal RNA". It matches the Rfam family "Eukaryotic large subunit ribosomal RNA", at positions 99 to 261 of the family's 3401-position model. The record is from RNAcentral. Lineage: Eukaryota; Fungi; Ascomycota; Dothideomycetes; Pleosporales; Didymellaceae.
CGGCAACAGCUCAAAUUUAAAAUCUGGCCUCUUCGGGGCCCGAGUUGUAAUUUGUAGAGGGCGCUUUGGCAUUGGCAGCGGUCCAAGUUCCUUGGAACAGGACGUCACAGAGGGUGAGAAUCCCGUACGUGGUCGCUAGCCUUUACCGUGUAAAGCCCCUUCGAC